GUUUCAGGUGGAUGGCAGCGUGCAUUCAGGCCUCUAAUGAAAUGUUAUCAUGAUGUGAGUUAGAUCUAAAGUGUGAUUAAUAAAACUCACAGAGAAAGUCAAACCAUAGAGAGGUACACAGAGGCCAGCUCGUUCUCUAACAUUAAUAGGCCGUGGGAUGUUUAUCACGUUAUAAGGGCAUCUAGGAAACCUGACAUAUGUAUUUUAUUUUAAGUUCUGCACAGGUUAAUAUAGGCCUGAUCUCUGGCCUCCUUUGUCGGGAAUUCGCCAUAUUAGUUGGAUCCAUCUUCCCCAGGUGAGAUGUGGGCGGCUGGACAGGGCAGAGGGGACCUGAACGUUCCACGGUUGCCAUGAUUUUGUCUCCAGGUGCAUCAUUCGAUCCGGAUCAACAUUCGGACAGAACCGAGCCUUCUGAUUUUCAGGACAAGUUCACUUUCACACGACGGUUUUGGGACGAAAAAAGGAUCUAACUUUCUGGCGACUUUUUGCAUCUGAACACUCGCUUCACACCUUUGCUGUCACUGAGGAACUUGGUCAAGAAAGAAAGCUACUUAUAUUCUGAAAACUUGAUUUCAUCUUGUCCUGGACUACACAGACAAUCAUCAGCAGAGAGCUGUAAAGGACGGCAGAGGGACUACUUCAAGAGAAAAGAUGUGUCUUGUGCCGUCUCACCUCCGUGACCACAGCUACUGCGGGACGGAGCCCAGCAGGAGCCAGAGGAGCACCGACACCGACCAGGCUGCUGGCAGCAGGAAGAGACGGAAGCAGCAGGAGGGCUCCUCCAGAGCUUCAGAGGAGCCUCCGGAGAGGAAGACUCCGCCUCAGCCCCCGGCCCUCCACCUCUGCCCCGCAGGCCAGGCUGGAAAGUGUCCGGCUGGAGGUGAGUGCUACAGUUGUCUACUCUAUCCUAGCUUGAUAGUCACUACGCACAUUCAGCUUACGCUGCCGCAUCAGUCUGUAUCUGACCCAG
Molecule: long non-coding RNA, 970 nt
Organism: Sparus aurata (gilthead seabream)
Lineage: Eukaryota; Metazoa; Chordata; Actinopteri; Spariformes; Sparidae
Source: Ensembl